This 363-nucleotide unclassified non-coding RNA is filed under the name uncultured bacterium. RNAcentral describes it as "contains 16S-23S intergenic spacer region". The record is from RNAcentral.
UCCCCGUUGCCGAGGCAGUCUGGCUAGAAAUAUCCAACUAGCCACGAGGGUUGCGCUCGUUGAGGGACUUAACCCGACAUCUCACGACACGAGCUGACGACGGCCAUGCAUCACCUGUCACCGAGUUCCUUGCGGCACAUCCCUGUUUCCAGGGACUUCUCGGGAUGUCAAGCCUUGGUAAGGUUCUUCGCGUAGCCUCGAAUUAAACCACACGCUCCACCGCUUGUGCGGGUCCCCGUCAAUUCCUUUGAGUUUUAGCCUUGCGGCCGUACUCCCCAGGCGGGAUGCUUAACGCGUUAGCUUCGCUACUGAUCGGGUCGAUACGACCAACAGCUAGCAUCCAUCGUUUACGGCGUGGACUAC